This 1390-nucleotide ribosomal RNA is filed under the name Cordyceps sp. LW-2007a. RNAcentral's name for it is "partial 18S ribosomal RNA". It matches the Rfam family "Eukaryotic small subunit ribosomal RNA", at positions 64 to 1105 of the family's 1831-position model. The record is from RNAcentral. Lineage: Eukaryota; Fungi; Ascomycota; Sordariomycetes; Hypocreales; Cordycipitaceae.
UAUAAGCAUUAUACGGCGAAACUGCGAAUGGCUCAUUAUAUAAGUUAUCGUUUAUUUGAUAGCACAUUACUACUUGGAUAACCGUGGUAAUUCUAGAGCUAAUACAUGCUAAAAAUCCCGACUUCGGAAGGGAUGUAUUUAUUAGAUUAAAAGCCAAUGCCCUCUGGGCUCUCUGGUGAAUCAUGAUAACUGCUCGAAUCGCAGGGCCUCGUGCCGGCGAUGGUUCAUUCAAAUUUCUUCCCUAUCAACUUUCGAUGUUUGGGUAUUGGCCAAACAUGGUUACAACGGGUAACGGAGGGUUAGGGCUCGACCCCGGAGAAGGAGCCUGAGAAACGGCUACUACAUCCAAGGAAGGCAGCAGGCGCGCAAAUUACCCAAUCCCGACACGGGGAGGUAGUGACAAUAAAUACUGAUACAGGGCUCUUUCGGGUCUUGUAAUUGGAAUGAGUACAAUUUAAAUCCCUUAACGAGGAACAAUUGGAGGGCAAGUCUGGUGAACGUUGCUGGUGCCAGAGAGAGCUACCCCUCUGUGGGCGACGGAAGAUAGCUAGUCGAGCGCUCGAUCAGUGACGGGUGAGCGCCGGCGAGACAACCUGGAUCGGGGAAGGCUAAGGGCCCCAAGCUGGCCUACGCUGAUCCCGAGCAGAGCCCCGCGGCCAGUGUGCCGGGAGGGCCUGUGUAGAGCGCGCCAAGGUGUCGGUCCAGAGGGUUGGCGCGCUCUCCCCCCCCCCCCCAAGGGCUUAAGGUACGUGCCAAUCCCCUGCGAAAGCAGAGCCCUGCGGAAUAGCACCCGUCGUGCGAAGCCGCGGGGGAGGACGCCCUGGGCGAUGGUGCCUGGGUGGCCUGUGACAAUAGUGGCCAGCAGCCGCGGUAAUUCCAGCUCCAAUAGCGUAUAUUAAAGUUGUUGUGGUUAAAAAGCUUGUAGUUGACCCUUGGGCCUGGCUGGCCGGUCCGCCUCACCGCGUGUACUGGUCCGGCCGGGCCUUUCCCUCUGUGGAACCCCAUGCCCUUCACUGGGCGUGGCGGGGAAACAGGACUUUUACUUUGAAAAAAUUAGAGUGCUCCAGGCAGGCCUAUGCUCGAAUACAUUAGCAUGGAAUAAUAGAAUAGGACGUGCGGUUCUAUUUUGUUGGUUUCUAGGACCGCCGUAAUGAUUAAUAGGGACAGUCGGGGGCAUCAGUAUUCAAUUGUCAGAGGUGAAAUUCUUGGAUCUAUUGAAGACUAACUACUGCGAAAGCAUUUGCCAAGGAUGUUUUCAUUAAUCAAGAACGAAAGUUAGGGGAUCGAAGACGAUCAGAUACCGUCGUAGUCCUGACCGUAAACUAUGCCGACUAGGGAUCGGACGAUGUUAUUUUUUGACUCGUUCGGCACCUUACGAGAAAUCAAAGUG